RNAcentral lists this long non-coding RNA (1186 nucleotides) under Equus asinus (donkey). RNAcentral describes it as "lncRNA (ENSEASG00005033254.1)". Lineage: Eukaryota; Metazoa; Chordata; Mammalia; Perissodactyla; Equidae. The record is from RNAcentral.
UUUGGUUCUAGUUGGGCAGUUCCUGUCGAAUCACAGGAGGAGGAGGAGUGUAAUCAUUGCGCAGUGUGUUUCGGCUUCUUGAUUAACAGUUGCAUUGGGCCUCUGAUGUAUGGGAAAAAAAGCUAACCCCAGCUUGAACACUAGAGAAAACUGCUGCAAUUAUGUAAGCUUUACCCUAAUUGCUUGGUUGAAUGAGAGCUGGAAGCGAGGGUGACAGAGUGGUGCUGCUAACUUGGCAAUUUGCAAGGGUCACUGUGGUUAAUUGGUGUCUGCAGAGCAGAACCAUUUUUCUAUGGUGAUCAAUUUAAGAUAUUGUCAUUUGUUGAAAUGAACCAAUGCCCUUGACUUCUUGGAAGAGGUGGAGGGAAUUGAUCACGUGAGAAUGUACAGUAAUCCAUUUCAGACUCUGGCUUUUGUGGAUUUAGACAAGGCUCCCCUGGAGGAAGGAAUGCCAGGGCAAGAAUCAACCAGAUUGAGAUCUUUGUGCCUGGCAGUCUGACAUCACUUGUAAACUCUGCCAAAAUUCCUUUGGAAGCAGAUGUUCCUAGAGGGGGAAUGGAACACACGCUAUUUGGAACAUAAAACUGAGUAAAACUGAUAUAAGACUGAUUUACACUUGACAAAUCUCCAGCCAAAAAUUUCUUUAUUGGCAGUUACUACCGAACUGAAUGAGUAAUCAACUAAGGGUCAGAAUACAAACUAGCGUCUCCGCCUCUCAGAACAAGCAUCACUUCCACGUGGAUGGCCUCCUCAGCCUCCCACUUCCAGUGCUUACUGGAGUCUAUUCCAAAUAGAUCUCCAUCUAUUGCAAAGCUCCCAUUAAAAAUUCUGGCUAUGGGGGCUGGCCCCGUGGCCGAGUGGUUAAGUUCGCGCGCUCCGCUGCAGGCGGCCCAGUGUUUCGUCGGUUUGAAUACUGGCCGCGGACAUGGCACUGCUCAUCAAGCCACACUGAGGCGGCGUCCCACAUGCCACCACUAGAAGGACCCACAACUAAGAAUGUACAACUAUAUACCGGGGGGCUUUGGGGAGAAAAAGGAAAAAAUAAAAUCUUUAAAAAAAAAAACAUCCUGGCUAUGACUGCUGAUAUUUAGAAGAAUAGCCUGAGGAAUGGUGUGUCCUCCUUAUUUUAUUUAUUGUUUCUGUGGUUAUUGCCCAGCCACUUUGCACCAGGCAUUGGGUUAGGUGA